Molecule: transfer RNA, 77 nt
Filed under: Candidatus Spechtbacteria bacterium RIFCSPHIGHO2_01_FULL_38_11
Lineage: Bacteria; Candidatus Spechtiibacteriota
Also listed under: 1 other name
Description: tRNA-Lys
Rfam family: tRNA
About the family: Transfer RNA (tRNA) molecules are approximately 80 nucleotides in length. Their secondary structure includes four short double-helical elements and three loops (D, anti-codon, and T loops).
Source: RNAcentral
CCGCCCGUAGCUCAGCUUGGUAGAGCAACGGCCUUUUAAGCCGCUGGUCGGAAGUUCGAAUCUUCCCGGGCGGACUA